Molecule: long non-coding RNA, 769 nt
Organism: Talpa occidentalis (Iberian mole)
Lineage: Eukaryota; Metazoa; Chordata; Mammalia; Eulipotyphla; Talpidae
Exons: 6
Source: RefSeq, a predicted model, not a curated record
UUUGAUCCAUUUCCCAAGUGACUAUACAUACAUAUCCAGCACACUAAAAUUAAAUGUAUAUGCUUGUCAAAUCUUCCCUUCCCUUAGCCAGAUCCCCAAAAUGGCCUUUGUCGCGUCAAUGCCAUCACACAGUAUAAAAGAGAGACCCUAAGCCCAAGUUUCAGGGUGGAUCCAUCUCUAAAAAGUAAACACAUAGAACAACAACAAUGAGGAAAUGAAUGGAAAGAGAACAUUUCAGAGGUCCCUGGUUUUUAUCUCAUUUUGCCUGGGAAGUGCACCUUGAUGCUGAACUACAUUUGUCCCCCGGACACACACUUUCUAGGAAAGUCCUAUCCUGAUGGCCUCUGCCUGUUUGAAAUAUUGGCUCCAUCUUUCCUGUAGACUGAUUUUAGGAUAUUUACUGACACCCCUGGAUCCUUCCCACUGGAUGCCAGGAGCACACUCCCAUCCUUCCUUGUAGUGCAACAUGGAUGGAGCUAGAAGAAAUUAUGCUCAGUGAAGUCAGAAGGAAAAAGAAAAAUAUUGGAUGGCUUCACUUAAAGGAGGAAUAUAAGGGAACCAAUCCUCCAACCAGUACCACUGAGAAACAUGUUUGGCUUUGAGAGCAAAGGAUAAAAAGAAGAAUUGAAUAUAAACGGGAGGGUUGGAGCCAAAUCAUCAAGAAUAAAUGUGAGGAAGUCGUCUGAGGGCUCCACGCAAACCUAUAAACAAUGUGCAUGUGUGCAGUCUUGUGUUCCUGGGCCGUAAAUAAAUAAUAAACAGAUGUUGG